CCUGUUUCUCCUCAGCCACCUCAGCCAGGGCUCAGCGAAGGGCCAGCCGCCCCACCGCCCAUGCCCACUGCACAGCGCCGGGGUCCCACGGCCACUGCACAGCGCGGGACAGGGCCGGGCGUCCACCCGCCCAACCCCGGGGCCGAGGACAGCCGGCCUUCCCCGCCACGGCGCAGCCGGGACCACCACGCGCGUGCCCGACCCCCGGUUUCCUUCCCGUUCCGCCGUGCCCCGGAAGCCAGGACACCUCCGACUAUUUGAGAACACACAUGUGAUGGUGUAAUUUCUGCUUUUCUGAAAGAACUCGGAGGAGAUCUGAUAGAGGAGUUUGGGGAACACUUCUGUCAGGACACAGUCCCUGCAGGUCAAUGAAAUCUACCACGAUGAGUCUUUGGGGGCCCACAUCAACGUGGUGCUGGUGCGGAUCAUCCUGCUGAGCCAUGGGAAGAUGAUGGAAAGUUGUCCUUUGAAGAAUCCAAAGCCUACUUUGCAGAUGGUGUUCUCAGUGGAGAAGAAUUACAUGAGCUCUUCCACACCAUUGACACCCAUAACACAAAGUAAGGAUUUCGAACUAGAUUCUGUAAAUGGGGCAGAGAGAGUGUGAGUGAGGACAUGCGCAUGAAGAGGAGAGAGGAGAGACACAUGGAGGGCACAUUCUGUAAUGCUUCCCUAAGUCUGAUUAUGAGAUAACUCCUCUUUAAUAAUUGAAAUGCUCUGAAAGGCCGAACAAUCUCCAGGAAGCUCUUCUAAAGUGGUUUUAGAUUGCUCCCUUUUAGCAGAAUGCAAAACAAGAGAAUAUAAGUAAUUCUCUUAUUAAUAGACAAGUGGAAUUUUGCCUUGUUACUUAGGUGUCAUGUCAAUUUGCCUUGUUUAAAAAUUGGCCUUAAAGUUUUCUUAUCGUAGUGAUAUGGGUGGUUUGUAGCAGUCAUCUGGACACUUCAGGUAAUCAGUGCUAAGUCGUUGUUAGCGGAGGGGUGCAAGUGUGUAGGACACAAAAUUAUCCCUGAAUAGUC
Ochotona curzoniae (black-lipped pika) is the source of this 1013-nucleotide long non-coding RNA. RefSeq lists it as uncharacterized. The transcript is spliced from 4 exons. NCBI's taxonomy places the organism in Eukaryota, Metazoa, Chordata, Mammalia, Lagomorpha, Ochotonidae. The record is from RefSeq and is a predicted model, not a curated record.